Molecule: ribosomal RNA, 429 nt
Filed under: Pseudomonadota bacterium
Lineage: Bacteria; Pseudomonadati; Pseudomonadota
Description: Proteobacteria bacterium partial 16S ribosomal RNA
Rfam family: Bacterial small subunit ribosomal RNA
Source: RNAcentral
UGGGGAAUAUUGGACAAUGGGCGAAAGCCUGAUCCAGCCAUGCCGCGUGUGUGAAGAAGGUCUUCGGAUUGUAAAGCACUUUACGUUGGGAGGAAGGGCAGUAAGCGAAUACCUUGCUGUUUUGACGCUACCGACAGAAUAAGCACCGGCUAACUCUGUGCCAGCAGCCGCGGUAAUACAGAGGGUGCAAGCGUUAAUCGGAAUUACUGGGCGUAAAGCGCGCGUAGGUGGUUCGUUAAGUUGAAUGUGAAAGCCCCGGGCUCAACCUGGGAACUGCAUCCAAAACUGGCGAGCUAGAGUAGGGCAGAGGGUGGUGGAAUUUCCUGUGUAGCGGUGAAAUGCGUAGAUAUAGGAAGGAACACCAGUGGCGAAGGCGACCACCUGGGCUCAUACUGACACUGAGGUGCGAAAGCGUGGGGAGCAAACAGG